This 371-nucleotide long non-coding RNA is filed under the name Salvia miltiorrhiza (redroot sage). RNAcentral's name for it is "long non-coding RNA (SMIL_LNC003624)". Lineage: Eukaryota; Viridiplantae; Streptophyta; Magnoliopsida; Lamiales; Lamiaceae. The record is from RNAcentral.
GGGAGGGAAGAAUCGAAGUUAGAGGGGGAAGCGCCGGAGGAGUCACGCUGCUGGGAUAAUCGGCGGCGGAGGGAAUAAUCAACGGAGGAUAUGGCGAGGGAGGGAGGAAUCGAAGGUGGAGGGGGAAGCGCCGGAGGAGUCACGAUGCUGGGACGAUCGGAGGUAGGGUUGUUUUACCUUCUAAGUGAUGUAUAUGCUGUUUUUUCUUUUAUUUUUGAAGUUUACGUGUACUUAGUGUUUUUUUCUUUUAUUUUUUAAUACUGACGUGUACUAAUGAUAUGACACUUGAUCGGAACACGUCAAAUACCGGUCGCCAGAAAAUUUCUUACUACAUGUGAUUAAAAACCGGAGAGACAAUGACAAGUAUCCAC